UAAAGAUAACGGAACCAGCUCCAAGUUACACGAACGCUAUCAAAAACGACAAGAAACCAAAAACCGAAUUCGUAUCUUAUCUCUUAUCUCGGUCUCAUAGGCUAAAUAAAGUUUCGUAACUCGCGUAGGUUACAGUAGUUCAACAGCCAUGGUGAGAAAGAGAGGGAGACAGACGAAAUCAGGGGGUGGGAAACCCUCUCAAACGGAUUUUAUUCUCCCCGUUCCACAAAGGAUAGUUGCUGUCUGCAUCGUUAUUGCAAUCAUCCUCUUCCUUAUCUUCAGAAAAUAUCCCGAAGGAUUCUAAGGGUUUUCUGAAGAUAAUAAGGCCUUAUCAGUUAGGCCUAUGUUGAAGAAUCACUUCGGAGAUAUGGAUUACUAACAUCGAGGCAUUUUUUUUGUAUGGAUUCUGAACGUUAUUAAAGAUGGAUAUU
Molecule: long non-coding RNA, 431 nt
Filed under: Penaeus japonicus
Lineage: Eukaryota; Metazoa; Arthropoda; Malacostraca; Decapoda; Penaeidae
Description: uncharacterized LOC122249859
Source: RNAcentral